RNAcentral lists this ribosomal RNA (482 nucleotides) under uncultured bacterium. RNAcentral's name for it is "bacterial SSU rRNA". It matches the Rfam family "Bacterial small subunit ribosomal RNA", at positions 12 to 491 of the family's 1533-position model. The record is from RNAcentral.
UUUGGAUCUUGGCUCAAAUUGAACGCUGGCGGAUUGCUCCUUCAUGCAAGUCGAACGGUAACAGGUCUUCGGACGCUGACAAGGGGCGAACGGGUGAGUAAUAUAUCGAAACGUCCCCAGUCGGGGGGAAUAACGUACCGAAAGUUACCCUAAUACCGCAUACGAUCUACGGAUGAAAGCGGGGGAUCGCAAGACCUCCCGCGAUUGGAGCGGCCAAUAUCAAAUUAGGUAGUUGGGGGGGUAAAGGCUCACCAAGCCAACAAUCUGUAGCUGGUCUGAAAGGACAACCAGCCACACUGGAACUGAAACACGGUCCAAACUCCUACGGGAGGCAGCAGGGGGGAUUUUUGAACAAUGGACGCAAGUCUGAUCCAGCCAUUCCGCGUGCAGGAUGAAGGCCCUCGGGUUGUAAACUGCUUUUGUACAAAACGAAAAGGCUCUUCCUAAUACGAGGGGCUCAUGACGGUACUGUAAAAUUAAGC